Molecule: transfer RNA, 76 nt
Filed under: Paludihabitans sp.
Lineage: Bacteria; Bacillati; Bacillota; Clostridia; Eubacteriales; Oscillospiraceae
Also listed under: 1 other name
Description: tRNA-Asn
Rfam family: tRNA
About the family: Transfer RNA (tRNA) molecules are approximately 80 nucleotides in length. Their secondary structure includes four short double-helical elements and three loops (D, anti-codon, and T loops). Further hydrogen bonds mediate the characteristic L-shaped molecular structure. tRNAs have two regions of fundamental functional importance: the anti-codon, which is responsible for specific mRNA codon recognition, and the 3' end, to which the tRNAs corresponding amino acid is attached (by aminoacyl-tRNA synthetases). tRNAs cope with the degeneracy of the genetic code in two manners: having more than one tRNA (with a specific anti-codon) for a particular amino acid; and 'wobble' base-pairing, i.e. permitting non-standard base-pairing at the 3rd anti-codon position.
Source: RNAcentral
UCCCCAAUAGCUCAGUCGGUAGAGCGCGUGACUGUUAAUCACGAUGUCGAUGGUUCGAGCCCGUCUUGGGGAGCCA